Molecule: long non-coding RNA, 10031 nt
Filed under: Sorghum bicolor (sorghum)
Lineage: Eukaryota; Viridiplantae; Streptophyta; Magnoliopsida; Poales; Poaceae
Description: long non-coding RNA (SBIC_LNC010976)
Source: RNAcentral
GAAAAGAAAAUAAAAAUGUUAAAAAGAAUAGUAAGCUCCAUGUGAGUAUGCUCAUGGCAUAAAACCCAUAGGUACAUUCACUGUGGUGGCAUAAAAUAAAUAUGUUUUCAUCUUACAAUAAAUAUAAAAAUAAUAAGUGCAUGAUCCUACCAAGUAAUAUUUCUUAGGAGGAAUCUCAAUAUGAUAAAGGCUAGAUAUUUAUGCUAACACUUAACCAGUUCCACAAAGCUUUGUUGUCUAUUUGAGCUCCACAGAAUUCAAGGAUCAAAGAAGACAAGCAGACGGAGGACAUCCUAAUCGCUGUCAGGGUACUGCCAACAUUUCAAUACACCUCCGUCACCUGCUAGCUACAUCAGAAGAAAUUACAUCAAAAUCCAGCUUGGGGAGAGCACCCCCAUUUAUCCAGCUAAGUGUUUCUACUCGCGUUUAUACUUUACUCAAAUAAUAAAAAGAUACAUAAUCAUAAAAAAACCUAAAUAAAGAUUUUGUGCUUUUAUAUAUAUCUUUGCUUAGUUUGCGAAAUAAAUAAAUAAAUAAAGUUUGCUAUGAACCCUUAUGAUAAGCUCUCACAUGGAAAUGAUGAAUAGUUGCUCUGCCAUGACUAGUUCUUAAAAUUAAAAUCUCUCUCAAGUUUAGGCAUGACUGUUAUGAAUUAAGAUUUGCUCUAAACCUGAACUUGUGGGAAGAGUACUUGAUCUAAAGUCUAAGUUGUUAACGGAUAUGAUAUGGGAAGGUUGAGCUACUGUUUAUCUGUUCCUAGAGAUGCUAGAAUUCUAGAGAAUUUUAUCUUUGAAAAUCUUUAAAAUAACACAUGAUGAGUUCCUGUAUGAUGAGAGUUUAAAUUCCUACCACAGCCAUACAUACAUGCUUAUUAGACUUUAAGCCACACAUUUACUUUUUACUGCUUAUGAGCAGUGAGUGUGGUCAAGCUGUGUAGACCCUUAGGAGCUUGUCAUGUGGUUAAAUCAAGAUUCACUUGCACGUUCACUCACACAUGCUGCUUCUACUCCGGAAGUACACAUCCACAUAUAUCCACUCAAUUCCAUCUCCAGAUUCACCUAAAAUUAUUCUACCCCUAAUCCGGGAGAGAAUAGCCAAAAAUAUUUUCCUAUCCCUGUUAUUCCCUGUGAAAUAAAUGCUCGAGUUAUCUUGGUUACUACCACUUGCUACAUUAUUUCAGGAGAUGAGUGCUCUAAAAAAAGAAGAAAGGAAAAAAAAUGAAUACGAGGAAAUAAAAAGGGGCAAGUGCCCGGAACCUUGAAGAAAAGAAAAAGUGAGACGAGAGGUAAAAAUGGACAAGUGUCCGACAGUAGAAUUAGGGGUACAAGAUACCCACCAGAGAGGAAAGAAAAAAGAAAAUAUAGAGCAUCUCAUUCUCCUCAAAAAAAGCUUCAAAGUGCAAGAAAGGUAUGUAUCCCCUUAAAAGAGCAAAAAUAGAAUUAGACUUUCACCAUUGUUAUCACCAUCAUCACCAUACACCAUUCACUCACCACACAUGCACAUCUUGAUUUGACUUAUUGACUUGUUUCUCUGGAUCCAUGGUUUGACUAUGCAAUAAAUAUCUUGUAAGUAUGUAUUAGCUGUCUCCCACCUAUGAGCUCCAAAUAUCAAAACCUUAUUAGAGUAGGGUGAGAGAGAAGGCAAUAUCACUAUGCCUUAUACCAAAAAUACCACAUACUUUGAGAGAAGGCAUUGUUGAUGGUCCUUAAGUACUAAAAUUAAUAAUCAAAUAAACAUGAAAAAGGAUCAAUAUGAAACAAACAUCUAGAAUUAGGGUUUUAUCUGACAGAAUUCCAUGAGAUUUGGUGUUUAUCUAUUUCUGCAGGGGGUUAUCAGAGAAUAUGGAGAGAAGGCCCACAUGUCAUGUUUACAACGAGAUAAUUACGUGCUACGCAAUUUUCCUCAAUCUAGAAGAGUCCAGAAGCCACGGGAACGAACGAGAACACGAUCGGGCUCGGGGACAGGGCGCCCGCCCACCCCCCUUGGGCGCCCGCCCAGGCCAGGAGUCCAAUCAGGACUCUGCUUUGGGGCUAAACUCCACCGACCUAAAGGAUCAAUCUAAACCAUACAAUCUAUGUCGGUUUGAUCUGCCCACAUUCACUUGAAAGGACUAUAUAACCAAGGCCUCUCCACCCCUGGGGAGAGAGGAGAAGAGAAGAAAUCAUUAUUCAGAGGUAGCCAUCAAAGUUAGGGUUUAGAGCUUCUCUCCCACAGAGAAUUAGAAUUAGCUACUCCCUAAUCCUUCAAGUUUAGAGGUUUGAUUAGAUAGCAAUUAGAGAAGUAGAGCACAACGCUCUGGAUUCGGAUCUUCGGUAAUAAAGAUUGGUAUUAUUCAUAUCUUUCUCUAAUUCUUUGUUCUAAUUGCAUUAUGUCUCUAAUUAUUAUGUUCUUAGUUUGUUCUAGUUCUAUGUUUGAUAUAGUUAUGAUUGAUAAUGAGUUUAUGUAUAAGUUUGCAAAGCGCUUAGCUCUUGACGCGAGGGAGUUAGGUGAUAGAUCACAUGUGAGCGUGGUGCUUAGAUGUUAUUUAUCUGCAAAUGUAUCCUAUUGGCCGGGUCGUGUGGUAGUUCGCGAUAGUGACAGCUUCGUUGAUUCUUAUAUAGUCCACCCUCCGUUGAUAGGAUAGGCAGAACUGGUAUUGUGGAGUAAGUCGUGCGAUGCUCUGAUUUACUUUAUCAAUGUUCCUUAUACAUGAAUGAAGAGUCUUUUAUGCUAUAUAUGAUCUUGUAGAUAACUAGAGUAGAUUAUGACUUAGUAGUUAGUAGAUAACUUAGAAUCCAUUCUCUAGCUAAUCCGACAUCACCUACAUAUAUGAGGAGUAGUCUAUUUUCUAAUCGCUGUGUUAUUUAUCCCUUGAACUUAUAAUUCAUUAUCAUUAUCUUUAUAGUUUACCCCCUGCUAAAGUAAGUGACUGUGUGACGAGUUUCUCAUUAGUAAUCAUGUUCUUGCAAGUUUAUCUCUAGUCUAUGCCUUGAUAGAUUUUGCCCUUAAUUUAAUCUCCUUAGAUCCCUUGAGCAAAAUUAUAAAUAACGAUACCUGGAAUACUUAUCCUAGUGAAAUGCUACAAUGAGGUGUUUUAUCUGUGCGCUUGCGGAUAGAAUAGAUUAUUUUCUAAAGAGCCUUUACAUUUAUAAAUACCUUUGUACACUCUGGCACCAUGCUGGGGAUGACAACCUAGUAUCUAAGUGGUGUUAGCUAGUGUCAACAUGCAUUUCUGGCGCCAUUGCCGGGGAAUCUCAUAAGUAAGUCAUAAUAGGGUAAUACAUAGGAACGGUAAGGAAAGCCACUAAAUCAGUCAAGGUUAUUCAUAUAAAAUUUUAGACUAGACUAUAGAGAAAUAAUUGCAUAAAACAGCUACUAAGUGAGAAAUCAUAACAAGGCACCUCUGCUUUGGCAGGUUCACCCUCUUGUUUUUCUAUGUUUAUAUUUUUAUACAGGGUAUAUCAGGAUUGACUUUGGGUACAUUCAACUCUUCAUCAUCAGAACCAAAGCAAUCAAGAGAAGAAGAAGCUAGCUACCAAUUGCUGAAGCUAUGGCACAAAAGACCCUACAAGAAUUCUCUGCUCCAAGUCUUGAGAACAUUCCAACUGGUCCAAGACUUGCAGUAGAAGAAGGAGUACCCGAGUUUGAGCUCAAGUCAAGCCUCAUCAAUUUGGUGCAAGCUACACAAUUCAGUGGUAAGGCACAUGAAGAUGCUAGUGCACACUUGCAGAAUUUUUUAGAGAUUGGAAGCACAAUCCACAUCAACGGAGUUGACAAAGACGUCAUACUACUUCACCUUUUUCCAUUCUCACUAGAAGGAAAAGCGAGGAAGUGGUUCUACACUCAUCAAGAUAACAUCAACAACUGGACGAACUUGUCAGAUGCCUUUCUAUCAAAGUUUUUCCCUAUAGGCAAAACAACUGCCUUAAGAGGAAAUAUUGUCAGUUUCCAACAGCAGAAGACAGAAGCUGUUUCAGAAGCAUGGGAGCGUUUUCAAGGAUACAUAUCAGAUAGUCCUCACCAUGGAAUGGCCACAUGGUUACUUAUGCAGACCUUCUACCACGGAUUAACCCAGAAGGCUCGUGAGUGUCUAGAUGCAUCUGCUAAAGGAUCAUUUUUGGAGCUUACAAUUGGAAAAGCAGAGAUACUUUUGGAUAAGAUAGCAGAAAAUCAAAGCUGGUUCCAAGAUAGGGCUCAACAAUGUCAUCAAACUGAAGAAAUACCAGAAGAAGUAAAUGCAUUAUCAACUAAGAUGGAAAAUUUGCUCCAUUGGAUUGACCAGAGGGCCAAGUUCAAAGAAGAUCAAAGGGCAAUGGAGACAGCAUACAAAUAUCAAACAACUUCGAGUCAACCCAAUAGCAAAGGUAUGAAUUCAGGUAAUACUUUCAAGCAACUUUCAUUAAAAGAGAUAAUUGCUCAACAAACUAAAAUUAAUGAUGAAGUUAAACAAAGGUUAGAUACAAAUGCAUCAUCUCUAAAAGAUAUACACAAUAAAAUGGAUUUUCUAUUAACUGCCUUUGAUGAGCAAAACGCUCUUAAUAAAAGGGUAGAGCUUAAAUUAAUAAAGUCAGCUGCUGCACUGCCUGUUGCUACCAACAUUGAGCAGGUAAAUAAUAUAACUACUAGAGGAGGCAAAGCCACUAGGGAUCCCCCAUUCCCAAAAGAGAAACAAAGAACAUCAGCACCAGUGCAACCAGCAGUGAUAGAAGAAGAAAGCCCAGUUGAAGCAGAAGAUCUGCCCCAACCACCAAGAACUAGAGAAAUGAGGAAAGAUUUUUACGACACCAACUAUUUGCCAUUUCCCAGAAGAAAGAGGACUGCAGUCGGAUGAGCAGUUUGGUAAGUUUGUAGAGAUCAUUCAGAAAUUAUAUGUCAGCAUACCUCUGCUCGAUGCCAUACAGGUACCUACAUAUGCGAAGUACAUCAAAGAUAUUCUUAACAAGAAGAGGCCACUGACACCACUGAGGUUAUCAAGCUGACAGAAGAAUAUAGUGCGGCCAUCCUCAAUAAACCACCAAAGAAGAAGGAAGAUCCAGGAUGUCCCACUAUUGAUUGCUCAAUCGGAAACCAACACUUCAACAACGCACUUUGUGAUCUCGGAGCAAGUGUCAGUGUGAUGCCAGCAUUAGUCUACAAAAAGCUUGAGCAUGCAACCCUAGAACCAACAUCAAUGUGCCUACAACUAGCGGAUCAAUCGGUUCGACAUCCGUUGGGUAUCGCCGAAAACAUUCCAGUCAAGAUCAGAGAUUUCCUUGUGCCAGUAGACUUCGUAGUACUAGACAUGAGUCCUGACUCAAAAGUGUCCAUCAUCCUUGGAAGGCCAUUUCUGAGCACUGCCAAUACCCACAUUGAUGUCGGGAAAGGAGAAAUCAAGUUCAACAUAAACGGACAAGAAGAACACUUCACAUUCAAACCCAGACCAGAGAGAGACUCUACUGUGAAGGAAGUUCAUGAAGAACCACUGGAGACACCAUCUUCGGAGGAAGGUAAUUCAGAAGAUUAAAAGAUUUGGAGGUUCAGCUUAGGGGACCUAAAAAUCCCAAACCCUCACCGGGAGGUAAAUCGGUAUUUAUCCGCAUUAUUAAUUUUCUCAUAUUUAAAUUCUUGCAUAAUUAAAUCUUGCAUUAGUCACAUUUAUUCAUAGCAUUAUUAUAAUAAUCAAAAGCCCCAUAUAAAUAAUAUUCAUGGUGUGUAACAACCCAUAUUUAUUAAUUAUUGUGGAGGCACAAAAAUAUUUUCCAUAAUCAUUUUAAUUAAGUUUCAAUUCUCAUAGAUUUUCCUGCAUUAUAUUUAAUUAUAGUAACCUUCUAGAAGCAUGACCCACACUCCUUGGGUCCCACAUGUCAUACACUUCACCUCACAUACAUCCCAUCACAUAAUUUCAUCCACCAAUAUGUUUCCACUCACUAGACAUCUUUCCACCGUCCAACCACCACCAACAUAAUAUUAUUCUGCGUGAGAUCAAAGCAAGGAAGCAAGUAGAGGAGGCACACCCAGGAUUGGCACCAGGGGUGGGCGCCCGCCCACCUACCCAGGGCGCCCGCCCUGUUCCUUGCUCAGCCUAUAAAUGGCCACCUCCAGCUCCCCUUCUCUUCACACACAUAUUUCAGAAAACCUUGCAAGCUCGUAGUUCUCGGUUUCCAGAGAAUAGCUCUGAGUGUGAGAAGGUUGAGAGUUCUUUUGAGUGAGAGAGUGAGUAUCACCUAGUAAGUAGUGAUCCCGUUGUCUAAGCGGAAAUAAAAGUUGUUUAGGGGGAGGCUCUACCAAAAUAGAAACUUGUCUUGAACGAUUAACCCCUGGACUACUGAUAUUCCGGACAGCUGACCACUAACAUUUUCUCUCACAUUUUCCACUAGUUGUGUUUUUGCCAACUUUUGUUUGCAGGAUGUUUAAGAAGGUGAAGAAUGCAGGGAAGGCCCUCAAGAACAUUGGUACAAGGAGUUCAUCCCGACACUCCUCACAGCCAUCAGAGAUGAGCGUCGACCCGACGCCCACACAAGCUCCGUCAACUUCAUUAGGUCAGCAAGUCAAGGUCCUUCUCAAGAUAGGAGACCUUGGACUGAAGACCCGAAGAGAGAAAGAAGUAUAUCAGCAAUUGAAGAAAAAAGAUUUUAUUCACACCCCUACUCUCGAUCCAAUCUUACUACAAGAAACAGGUAUGGACACCGAAUUUAACUUAAUUUUCCAGAUGAUAGGUUGGACAAAUUUUUGGAAUAUAACUGAGCUAGGUUCUCGUCUUCUCACCCUCGAAUUUCUUUGCACCUUACAAUAUUAUGAGGGGGGAAUUGUUUUUCGGAUGUUCAAACAGGAGAUUAUGUUGUCUUGGAGAGAGCUGAGCGACCAUCUUGGUUUCUCUUCAAGAUGCAUCCUGAACAUUGACUCCGACCUACCUAAUUUUGAGAGACACCAGUUUUGGAGAGAAAUAUCUAGAGAUACUUUUUAUAGCCAAGCCCGAACCAGUGACAUGGAACACCCAACUCUUAGGAUGUUCCACAAAUGGCUUGGGUACAAUCUUUUCUAUCAUGAUGAUAUUAGGAAAGUAAGAGUAGAACAUUUGCAACUUUUAUAUGCUGCUAUUAAUAAAGUACCCACUUCACCUGUUACACUUUUAGUUUCUCAUUGGCUUAGUAUACCUAGUCUUCAGGGACCACUAGGAUGUACUUCACUUAUCACUCGUCUAGCCUCUAACCUUCAUUUACUAGAAAACUCAUCGUUGGACUUCAUAGAUGAGUUAAGAAUUUAUCAUGGCUAUGACACAUUUAGACAAGCUCGGAUGUUAAAGAAAGAGGGGAAUAUAAUAUAUAUGCUAUAUGAUGAUAGAGGCAAGAUUCGGUUACCUAACCCGAACCUUGGCCUCUACAUUGUUCAAAACUUUUUGAUUGAGAUUGCAGCAACACUAGUGAACCAGAGAGCUCCACAGCGAGUGGCAUCUGAAAGGAUGACCACCCAUCGAGAACGCACCUGGUAUGGAGCUGAUCCCGGACCAGAAGAAGCAGCGCACCUGCAUUAUUGCGAUUACAACCCCUGAGUCCUUCGAGACCCAUGGGUUCGACAAGCGCAACCACAAGAGCCAACAGAGGAGACAUGGCCGGAGAGCCAAGACCACCAGUGGACAAACCCGCCUUUCCAUACGGGCAGGUACUCCACUGAUCCAUAUGGAGCUUCAAGAUCCAGACCUCCACCCCAAUUUGAUGCAGGACGAUACUCGGACGCCUCCUACGUUUUCACGAAUGACUACUAUCAAGAGGCCGGUGCUUUCUUCACUCGUACCGAUAACACUCUCCUCGACAUCCAGAACAUGCAAGCAGAACAUGGAAGACUCCUGGAAGAGCAACAAAAAUGGAACCAGGACCAUGCUGCUGCAGUACAAGAGCUGAGACAAGAUACAACAACAAUGAACGACAACAUCACAAUCAUGAUGUGGUUCUGGAACCUCGGGUAAGGCCGACAUCAACAUCCAGCUUGGGGGAGUUCCUCCCCAAUUUAUCAAGUAAGUUUUUAAUUGCUCUUCUUAUUUAUUCUUUUCUAUUUUAGUAUUUUACUUAAAAAGGAAAAACUUAGAAAACCCAAUAAAUAUUUUCUUGCUUUAAUUUACUACAUUUUAUAAACAUGAAAACAAAAUAAAAAGAGUGUGUAGAUAAGUGUGCUUUAUUUUCUUGCUAAGUUUAAUCUCUAGAAAAAUAAAAAGACCAAAAAGAUGCAUAAUGAAAAUGAUGAGCAGUUGCUCUGUUUGCUUACUUUCGAGUACCUAGCUUUUAUAUUAGAGUUCUUCCAGGAAUUACUAAAACUUACUAUCUUUGGGAAGCAUAAAACUAAUGUCUAGGUAAGAGAAAGGCAUGAUAUAAAGUUGAGCUGCUGUUUACCUUGUUCCUACUACACUAAGUUCUGGAGAUUUAUUUUGAAAACUUACAAAUCACAUGAUGAGUUCCUAGCAUUACAACUACCUACCAUAGCCAUACUUGCUAUAACAUCUUUUACUAUAUUUACAUUGAGUUUGAUCGAGCUGUGUAGACCCUUAGGAGCUUUUCAUGUGGUUAAAUUAAGAUAUUCACUUGCACACAUCUACCACAGCAUUCAUCACCAAUCAUUAAAAUUGCUAAAAAAAAUAUAUUAUCACUCACUGUCCCAAGUAUUGUUAUUUUCUCUCUCUAAAAAGAUUCAAUGCAGAAGAGGCAUGGGUUAUGCAAAAAUAUGCGAGGAAAUAAAAAGGGCCAAGUGCUCGGAACCUCGAAAAAGAAAGAAAAAGAGUGAGACGAGAGGUAAAAAUAGACAAGUGUCCGGAGUAGAAUUAGGGGUACAAAGAUGCCCACUUGAGCGGAAAAAAAAUGGACAAGUGUCUGACAGUAGAAUUAGGGGUAUCUACUACCUACCUGAAAAAAAAAGAAGAAAAAGAAAGAAAAGAUAGCCCAUGUUCUCCCAAAGCAAAGAUCAAAGAGGAGGAGAGAUAGCAAUAUGAGGAGCAAUGCGAAGUAAGUUUUAUUAUCACCAUCACUACCAUUUACUCCACCACACAUGCACAUCUUGACUUAAUUAUCUGCUAAGUUCCUUUGGAUCCAUGGCUCGAUUAGACAACAUAUGUAUGAGUUGUUUUUCACUCCUAUGAGCUCCACUUAAAUAUUCCAUUAGCUAUAGGUAAGUGACAUUUUGGUAAGGAUCCACAAAUACCACAUAUAGAGAGACUUGAGAGAAUCAUUGUUAGGAACUCUGAGUUUUAUUUUGAAAAACUUAUGAAAAACUCUGGAACAAAGGUGAAGUAUAGAUAGGAGGAAUAGUGCUUGACUUAAUUAUUUUGUCUUUCAAUUACUUAAGACUUAAGUGCAGGUACUAAACUCCAUAACACUUCACUCUAAUCUAGAAGAAUUUUUAUAUAAAAGCAUGUGUGCCUAUCAGGAAAGAAAACAUCGAAGCAACUCCUGAUCCAUGUGAGUUUAGCUAUUUUCUCAGGGACGAGCAAAGGGUAAGCUUGGGGGAGUUUGUUGACGGUCCUUAAGUACUAAAAUUAAUAAUCAAAUAAACAUGAAAAAGGAUCAAUAUGAAACAAACAUCUAGAAUUAGGGUUUUAUCUGACAGAAUUCCACAAGCUUUGGUGUUUAUCUAUUUCUGCAGGGGGUUAUCAGAGAAUAUGGAGAGAAGGCCCACAUGUCAUGUUUACAACGAGAUAAUUACGUACCGCGCAAUUUUCCUCAAUCUAGAAGAGUCCAGAAGCCACGGGAACGAACGAGAACACGAUCGGGCUCGGGGGCAGGGCGUCCGCCCACCCCCCUUAGGCGCCCGCCCAGGCCAGGAGUCCAAUCAGGACUCUGCUUCGGGGCUAAACUCCACCGACCUAAAGGAUCAAUCUAAACCAUACAAUCUAUGUCGGUUUGAUCUGCCCACAUUCACUUGAAAGGACUAUAUAACCAAGGCCUCUCCACCCCUGGGGAGAGAGGAGAAGAGAAGAAAUCAUUAUUCAGAGGUAGCCAUCAAAGUUAGGGUUUAGAGCUUCUCUCCCACAGAGAAUUAGAAUUAGCUACUCCCUAAUCCUUCAAGUUUAGAGGUUUGAUUAGAUAGCA